GAAACCAACAGGGAUUGCCCUAGUAACGGCGAGUGAAGCGGCAACAGCUCAAAUUUGAAAUCUGGCUCUUUUAGAGUCCGAGUUGUAAUUUGCAGAGGGCGCUUUGGCUUUGGCAGCGGUCCAAGUUCCUUGGAACAGGACGUCACAGAGGGUGAGAAUCCCGUACGUGGUCGCUGGCUAUUGCCGUGUAAAGCCCCUUCGACGAGUCGAGUUGUUUGGGAAUGCAGCUCUAAAUGGGAGGUACAUUUCUUCUAAAGCUAAAUAUUGGCCAGAGACCGAUAGCGCACAAGUAGAGUGAUCGAAAGAUGAAAAGCACUUUGGAAAGAGAGUCAAACAGCACGUGAAAUUGUUGAAAGGGAAGCGCUUGCAGCCAGACUUGCUUACAGUUGCUCAUCCGGGCUUUUGCCCGGUGCACUCUUCUGUAGGCAGGCCAGCAUCAGUUUGGGCGGUAGGAUAAAGGUCUCUGUCACGUACCUCCUUUCGGGGAGGCCUUAUAGGGGAGACGACAUACUACCAGCCUGGACUGAGGUCCGCGCAUCUGCUAGGAUGCUGGCGUAAUGGCUGUAAGCGGCCCGUCUUGAAACACGGACCAAGGAGUCUAACAUCUAUGCGAGUGUUUGGGUGUCAAGCCCGAGCGCGUAAUGAAAGUGAACGGAGGUGGGAACCCGCAAGGGUGCACCAUCGACCGAUCCUGAUGUCUUCGGAAGGAUUUGAGUAAGAGCAUGGCUGUUGGGACCCGAAAGAUGGUGAACUAUGCUUGAAUAGGGUGAAGCCAGAGGAAACUCUGGUGGAGGCUCGCAGCGGUUCUGACGUGCAAAUCGAUCGUCAAAUUUGGGCAUAGGGGCGAAAGACUAAUCGAACUAUCUAGUAG
This 871-nucleotide ribosomal RNA is filed under the name Alternaria mirabibensis. RNAcentral's name for it is "partial large subunit ribosomal RNA". It matches the Rfam family "Eukaryotic large subunit ribosomal RNA", at positions 61 to 950 of the family's 3401-position model. Lineage: Eukaryota; Fungi; Ascomycota; Dothideomycetes; Pleosporales; Pleosporaceae. The record is from RNAcentral.